RNAcentral lists this ribosomal RNA (392 nucleotides) under Clostridioides difficile. Its description in RNAcentral is "bacterial SSU rRNA". It matches the Rfam family "Bacterial small subunit ribosomal RNA", at positions 1 to 402 of the family's 1533-position model. Lineage: Bacteria; Bacillati; Bacillota; Clostridia; Peptostreptococcales; Peptostreptococcaceae. The record is from RNAcentral.
UUAUUUGAGAGUUUGAUACUGGCUCAGGAUGAACGCUGGCGGCGUGCCUAACACAUGCAAGUUGAGCGAUUUACUUCGGUAAAGAGCGGCGGACGGGUGAGUAACGCGUGGGUAACCUACCCUGUACACACGGAUAACAUACCGAAAGGUAUGCUAAUACGGGAUAACAUAUUUGAGAGGCAUCCCUUAAAUAUCAAAGGUGAGCCAGUACAGGAUGGACCCGCGUCUGAUUAGCUAGUUGGUAAGGUAACGGCUUACCAAGGCGACGAUCAGUAGCCGACCUGAGAGGGUGAUCGGCCACAUUGGAACUGAGACACGGUCCAAACUCCUACGGGAGGCAGCAGUGGGGAAUAUUGCACAAUGGGCGAAAGCCUGAUGCAGCAACGCCGCGU